RNAcentral lists this non-coding RNA (86 nucleotides) under human gut metagenome. RNAcentral's name for it is "TPP riboswitch (THI element)". It matches the Rfam family "TPP riboswitch aptamer (THI element)", at positions 7 to 100 of the family's 105-position model. Rfam says of the family: Vitamin B(1) in its active form thiamin pyrophosphate (TPP) is an essential coenzyme that is synthesised by coupling of pyrimidine and thiazole moieties in bacteria. The previously detected thiamin-regulatory element, thi box was extended, resulting in a new, highly conserved RNA secondary structure, the THI element, which is widely distributed in eubacteria and also occurs in some archaea. The record is from RNAcentral.
CGCUGGGGGAGCUUGAAUACCUUUCAGGCUGAGAUAUACCCUUUGAACCUGUUCGGAUAAUGCUGGCGUAGGGAAGCGGAGAAAAU